ACUUUCUGCAAUGCAGUUGUUGGUUCAGCAGGUGGAGCUCGUGAAUUUGACCUUCCUUGCGGUGCUGAAGUCAAUCCUAAUUUCUCCCUCUGCUCUAGAUGGCUACCCUUUCUAUAAACUGGAUCAUCUGCAAAAUAAACAGAAAAUUAAUAUAACAGACAUGUUCAACCACCUGACCUCACCUCCAACUCUGUUUAUCAAUUUACUUACAAAAGCCAUCAUCUUCCCUUCAACAAUUAAGUUUUUGAGCAUGCAAAAUGAAAAUGAGACAAUGAUGAAAAAGAAAACAUAGGAUAAUUAACCUCUUGUUAUUAUGGGCCCUGUUAUCGGACGAGUCUUUUUAGGCUUCCAAGUCUUUGAAAACAUGCCUCCUAGACUUCCCAAAAGCUUUUCACCCUGAGAUUGUACAUCAAACAACUUCAGCCUCUAGGAUAAUCAUGCAUAUACACAAGGAUAUGGAACCACGGGACAAAAACAGGCAAUAAAAACAAAAAAUGGAAACCAAAUGAGGAGAUAAGCAUGACUUAGGGGCCAAUAAAAUGGACACAGGGAUUCCACAGCAAAUGAUCAACACAAAUCUCAACUAUGCUUGCAGUGUUCUAUAGUUUUUCCUAGCUGAUAAAUUCCUACUCACACAUAUUUGCAAUUGGAAAAGAGUAUUGCGUGCAAAUACUGGAAAUGGAAGAUUUGCAGCAUCAUGUUAAAAAAGACAAGGCAAUCUAACAUAAUGGAUUAAGUUGGAAACCUUCUACAAAAUAAACAGGAUGUUCAUAAAAUCCCCUAUAUUCCUUGAGAAUUAGAACUCGAAGGAAUAAUUUACAAGACAAAAGGAAUGUUACUUGGCAUUGAACAAGAUUGCAUCAAACUUAAAGUGGAUAAAAAAGGUAAUAUGUCAAAAAAAGUUUAGGCAUGCUUCCAACUUAAGUCCAUAAGACCGAAACUUUCCAUUGAAAAUAGCAGCUUCAUAUGUAUUAUGCAACAAGCAAAAAAAUAAAUAACAAUAAUAAUAAAAAAAUAAAUAAUAAAAAUAGUGAAACACUCGGUGGAAUUCAAUGCAAUAGGAGAGCAACAUCCCACCAUAAAGCAAAGGGCAUGGUAAAAGAACAAUAAAAAUGCUGAUAAAUUAUGUUUAAAUCAACAUUACAAUAAAAUCUAUCUUGAAACAGUGCCUAAAUAAAGUGUGAUAAAUAUUCCAUGACAAGUCUCAGUUCUUCUGCAUACUUAGGUUUAAACAUCUAAUAGAAAUUGUCCUUCAGAAUAGCACUCAUUGCAUCUAGUUCAUUACAUCAAAUGGUGAUGAGUGAAAGAUCAAAUGACAAAAUUGUAAUCUAUCCAUCAAUUAGCAAAGCAUAGAAAUAGUCUUAGCACUCGAAAGGCUAGUUAUAUGUUAUUGCACCAUUCUUCGUAGUUAAAGGUAAUGAUAUUUAUUUAACUAUUGCAAUCAUGAGAAAAAAUGUAAAAUUUCCACUGGUCUCUCCUAUAUACCUAAUCUUAAAAGGGGGAAAGGAAGACAAAAAGAAGGCCAAUCUAAAAUAUUAGCUGAAAAAAGAAGGAAAACUUACACGUAAUGCAGUGGAAUCCCUAUCUACACCAAGACUUGGAACAAAGUCAAAAGUAAACCCUAAUUAAUCAACUUCAAGACAUUGCACUGAUAAGCCAUCGGUAACAAAAUGCUUAUGAACAAUGAAUUACUAAUUAGUGGUCCUAAUCUACUGACACCAUUCUUCAAUAAAGUCAGCCACUUCUUUCUUAAUCUAGCAUUCUCAUCAAUUCCCUAAAGGGAAUGCGAGAGGGAAAGGUUCAGAUUUCUGAUCUCCAUAUACAUAAUCAGAGCUUAAACAUUUGAAAUCAAUCAGCCAGGAAGAGUCAUGAAGGUGGCCAACAGGAUGCAUAAACAAAACUUUCUUCUAAAAUCAGACAAAUAAACCGCGAAGCUUGGGGUUAGAAUUAGUUAAUUCAGUAAACCAUACCCUGCUAAGAUCAUGGUCAAUGUCUGCAGCAGCAUGAUGCGUCCUUGUUAUUUGUUCACCCUGAUGAUGCAAGGUCACCAAUGUUUUAGUAGCAUCCUCUCUCAUUUCCUCAGCAAUCUUCAGGCAACCAUUCACCGCCUUUGUUGUCUCUUCAGCUCUAUAAACAGAAUAGUUCUCCAACUCUUGAACAGUUUGGUUCUCUAAUCCUCCUGAGUCACGGAAAUCAUUUUUGUAUUUAUUUCUAGCCGAAUGAUUGGAGGUAUAUGAUGACAAUGAAGUCCCUUUGACCUCUUCAUCAUCAAAUGGGUUGGUACUCGUGUUUUGGGUAACUAGCGAAGGCUCUGAAGAAGUCCUCCUGGAGGUUGUUAGGGCUUGCUUGUUAUCUGACUCACCAUCAGAAUCAAAAGGAUUUGAGCCAGAAAUUCUAGAGUCAACUGAGGUAUGUCUAGCGUUCCUAUGCAGUGGAGAUUUCUUGUGACCAAACAUCUUGAAAAACUAGCUAUGCAAAUUCAGAUACGGCAAUACAGAGAGUUAGAUUCUGAAGCAGUAUCACUGAACAAUAUUUGCAAAAUGCAAAGUGAGCCUGAAAAGAAGAUAAACUUGUUAGAGCUGGCAACACCAAUGUAGGAGUUAACCUGGGCAACUAGAAAUUAAACCAACAAAGUUUAGAAAAACAUCUCAAUCAUCAAGAUAGAAACUAAACACAAAUGAUAGAAAAAGCAUCAAGAAUAGAUAACAGAAAAGAGCAAGGAAGAAGCUAAGCAGAUAAUUAACUUAAAGGACGGAAAAGUUCCUUGAAUCGAGGAACUACUUCCCUUUAUCAGCAACACUCAAGAGUAGCAUCCUUUAAAAAAUCUUUCAUAACAAAACCCAAUAAAAAAACAUCAAAUAUGCAGAAAUCACUCAUCAAAAAGCAGCGCGAGCCAUGUCUACAGAGAUAAUUAGUGAUUUGGAAAAAUAAAUAAAUCCUGAUCCUUUAAGCUUGUAUGUCAAUUAAGAGAAUAAUGGGAUCUUGACAAUGAAAUUUCUACAUACAGAUAAAAAGAAAAACACCGUCUAUAGAGUUCUCAAAACAUUCUCAACCAUUCAUUCCUUCUAUAACAGCAGGGUAUGAAAAAUAAGCCUUGAUCUCUUUCCCAACUUUCUUUCCGGUUUCUCUCAGCAACCACACAUUCCAUAAGUCAAAGCAAUCAAACACGAAGUUAAACCACCUGAAUCAGCGCCCCCCCCCCCACCCACAAAAACCGUCCUAACCUCCUCUCCGCCCCAACCCCACUACCCUCUGCACUUCAAAAAAAUUUAGAAAAAAAAGUACCCCCGUCCAAACAAAAUAACAAACAAAGUAGAACCACCAUAUACAUUUAUACUCCUAAUUCAUGAAGAAGAAGAAAUCAAGAAAAUUUAGCCCGUGGGCUACACAGAAAUCAACCUGUACAAGUACAUGAACCAAUAAAACCAUGAAAAAAAGAGUUACGAAAACAAGAACAGACUUGAAUAAACCAACACAAACAUCAGAAAUGUAGACAAAGUCAAGUAAAGAGGUUUAAGGGUAUCACGGAAAAAGGCAAACCUAGAACAAGAACAACAAAAGAAAAAGAAGGAGAGAGUGGGAAGUACCUGAAAUUGAAUCAAGAGAUCAAGACGUGAAAACGGACAAUCUUGGACUUUUCACAAGGCACAGGAAAAGCCCUUUCUUGGCUUUCAAGAACCUGUUUUGACAGCAAAAAUGGAGAUAAAAGCAGGAGAUGUUGGUGGGCUUUUGU
This 3733-nucleotide long non-coding RNA is filed under the name Coffea arabica (coffee). RNAcentral describes it as "long non-coding RNA (CARA_LNC002955)". Lineage: Eukaryota; Viridiplantae; Streptophyta; Magnoliopsida; Gentianales; Rubiaceae. The record is from RNAcentral.